AGCAGAAUAGCUCAGUUGGUAAGAGCACUAGUGGUGAAAUUCACCUAAGAGGUCCUGGGUUCAAAUCCUAGUUCAGCCA
Mycena leptocephala is the source of this 79-nucleotide non-coding RNA. NCBI's taxonomy places the organism in Eukaryota, Fungi, Basidiomycota, Agaricomycetes, Agaricales, Mycenaceae. The record is from the annotation of a GenBank genome assembly.